GGGUGAGUAACGCGUGGGUGAUCUGUCUCUAAGUUGGGGAUAACCUCUCGAAAGGGGGGCUAAUACCGAAUGUGGUUCCUUGACGCAUGUCAGGGCGACUAAAGGCGGGGACCUUAGGGCCUGUCGCUUGGAGAGGAGCCCGCGUCCGACCAGCUUGUUGGUGAGGUAACGGCUCACCAAGGCUGCGACCGGUAGCUGGUCUGAGAGGAUGGUCAGCCACACUGGGACUGAGAUACUGCCCAGACUCCUACGGGAGGCUGCAGUCGAGGAUCAUUCGCAAUGGGCGAAAGCCUGACGAUGCGACGCCGCGUGGAGGAUGAAGGCCUUCGGGUUGUAAACUCCUGUCAUGAGGGAAAAAUAGUUUCGGCGUUAAUACCGUCGGAGCAUGAUGUUACUUCAAGAGGAAGCCACGGCUAACUCUGUGCCAGCAGCCGCGGUAAUACAGAGGUGGCGAGCGUUGUUCGGAUUCACUGGGCGUAAAGGGUGCGUAGGUGGUUCUGUAAGUCGGAUGUGAAAUCCCGUCGCUUAACGACGGAAUUGCAUUCGAAACUGUGGGACUAGAGUGCAGGAAGGGAGAGCGGAAUUCUUGGUGUAGCGGUGAAAUGCGUUGAUAUCAAGAGGUACACCGGCGGCGAAGGCGGCUCUCUGGAAUGCAACUGACACUGAGGCACGAAAGAUGGGGGAGCAAACAGGAUUAGAUACCCUGGUAGUCCCAUCCGUAAACGGUGUACACUUGGUGUUGAGGGAGUUGACCCCCUCAGUGCCGGAGCUGACGCGUUAAGUGUACCGCCUGGGGAGUACGGCCGCAAGGCUAAAACUCAAAGAAAUUGACGGGGGCCCGCACAAGCGGAGGAGCAUGUGGCUUAAUUCGAUGCAACGCGAAGAACCUUACCAGGGCUUGACAUGCAGCUGCAAGUCCCGUGAAAGCGGGACGCCUUCGAGGGUGCUGCACAGGUGCUGCAUGGCUGUCGUCAGUUCGUGCCGUGAGGUGUUGGGUUAAGUCCCGCAACGAACGCAACCCCUGUGGUUAGUUGCCACCGGCGGUGAUGAGCCGCUGAGCACUCUAGCCAGACUGCCCGUACAAGCGGGAGGAAGGUGGGGACGACGUCAAGUCAGUAUGGCCCUUACGCCCUGGGCUGCACACGUGCUACAAUGGCCGGUACAGAGGGAUGCAAGACCGCGAGGUGGAGCUAAUCCUGAAAACCGGCCCCAGUUCAGAUUGAAGUCUGCAACUCGACUUCAUGAAGUUGGAUUCGCUAGUAAUGGCGCAUCGGCUACGGCGCCGUGAAUACGUUCCCGGGCCUUGUACACACCGCCCGUCACAUCAUGAAAGCCGUCUGCACCCGCAGUCGCCGUACCAACCCGCAAGGGAGGAA
This 1376-nucleotide ribosomal RNA is filed under the name metagenome. Its description in RNAcentral is "bacterial SSU rRNA". It matches the Rfam family "Bacterial small subunit ribosomal RNA", at positions 104 to 1451 of the family's 1533-position model. The record is from RNAcentral.